RNAcentral lists this ribosomal RNA (318 nucleotides) under uncultured bacterium. RNAcentral describes it as "bacterial SSU rRNA". It matches the Rfam family "Bacterial small subunit ribosomal RNA", at positions 28 to 351 of the family's 1533-position model. The record is from RNAcentral.
GAUGAACGCUGGCGGCGUGCUUAACACAUGCAAGUCGAACGGACACAUCUUUCGGGGUGUGUUAGUGGCAGACGGGUGCGUAACACGUAGGUGACCUGCCCUAAAGUGGGGAAUAAUCUCGCUAACGCGGGACUAAUACCGCAUAUGCUCGGCGGUUCGGUCUGUCGAGUAAAGUCGUAAGACGCUUUGGGAUGGGCCUGCGGCGGAUUAGGUAGUUGGUGGGGUAACGGCCUACCAAGCCGAUGAUCCGUAGGGGGCGUGAGAGCGUGGCCCCCCACACUGGCACUGAGAUACGGGCCAGACUCCUACGGGUGGCAG